UACAGAGGGUGCGAGCGUUAAUCGGAAUUACUGGGCGUAAAGGGCGCGUAGGCGGUUAGUUAAGUUAGAUGUGAAAUCCCUGGGCUUAACCUAGGAACUGCAUCUGAUACUGGCUAGCUAGAGUGCAGUAGAGGGUAGUGGAAUUUCCGGUGUAGCGGUGAAAUGCGUAGAUAUCGGAAGGAACACCGAUGGCGAAGGCAGCCCCCUGGGCUGACACUGACGCUCAGGCACGAAAGCGUGGGGAGCAAACAGG
Molecule: ribosomal RNA, 253 nt
Filed under: uncultured bacterium
Lineage: Bacteria
Description: partial 16S ribosomal RNA
Rfam family: Bacterial small subunit ribosomal RNA
Source: RNAcentral